Molecule: ribosomal RNA, 421 nt
Filed under: uncultured bacterium
Lineage: Bacteria
Description: bacterial SSU rRNA
Rfam family: Bacterial small subunit ribosomal RNA
Source: RNAcentral
AAGGAAUAUUGGACAAUGGAGGCAACUCUGAUCCAGCCAUGCCGCGUGAAGGAAUAAGGCCCUAUGGGUUGUAAACUUCUUUUAGACGGGACAAAACCCCUUUACGUGUAAAGGGUUGAUGGUACUGUCAGAAUAAGCAUCGGCUAACUUCGUGCCAGCAGCCGCGGUAAUACGAAGGAUGCAAGCGUUAUCCGGAAUUAUUGGGUUUAAAGGGUGCGUAGGCGGACUAAUAAGUCAGUGGUGAAAGCCUGCAGCUUAACUGCAGAAUUGCCAUUGAUACUGUUAGUCUUGAGUACAGUUGAGGUAGGCGGAAUGUGUCAUGUAGCGGUGAAAUGCUUAGAUAUGACACAGAACACCGAUUGCGAAGGCAGCUUGCUAAGCUGUAACUGACGCUGAGGCACGAAAGCGUGGGGAUCAAACA